UGAGGUAUAACUCAGGGGUAGAGUGCUUGCUUAGCACCUAUGAGGCACUGGGUUCAAUCCCCAGUACCAGAA
RNAcentral lists this transfer RNA (72 nucleotides) under Cavia porcellus (domestic guinea pig). It matches the Rfam family "tRNA". From Rfam's summary of the family: Transfer RNA (tRNA) molecules are approximately 80 nucleotides in length. Their secondary structure includes four short double-helical elements and three loops (D, anti-codon, and T loops). Lineage: Eukaryota; Metazoa; Chordata; Mammalia; Rodentia; Caviidae. The record is from Rfam by way of RNAcentral.